RNAcentral lists this ribosomal RNA (425 nucleotides) under uncultured bacterium. Its description in RNAcentral is "partial 16S ribosomal RNA". It matches the Rfam family "Bacterial small subunit ribosomal RNA", at positions 354 to 796 of the family's 1533-position model. The record is from RNAcentral.
GUGGGGAAUCUUGCGCAAUGGGCGAAAGCCUGACGCAGCCAUGCCGCGUGAAUGAUGAAGGUCUUAGGAUUGUAAAAUUCUUUCACCGGGGACGAUAAUGACGGUACCCGGAGAAGAAGCUCCGGCUAACUUCGUGCCAGCAGCCGCGGUAAUACGAAGGGGGCUAGCGUUGCUCGGAAUUACUGGGCGUAAAGGGCGCGUAGGCGGACAGCUUAGUCAGAGGUGAAAGCACAGGGCUCAACCUUGGAAUUGCCUUUGAUACUGGCUGUCUUGAGUGUGGGAGAGGUGAGUGGAACUCCGAGUGUAGAGGUGAAAUUCGUAGAUAUUCGGAAGAACACCAGUGGCGAAGGCGACUCACUGGCCCAAUACUGACGCUGAGGCGCGAAAGCGUGGGGAGCAAACAGGAUUAGAUACCCCGGUAGUCC